CCUUCGAUAGCUCAGCUGGUAGAGCGGAGGACUGUAGAGUGACAGCAGGAAUCCUUAGGUCGCUGGUUCGAUUCCGGCUCGAAGGA
RNAcentral lists this transfer RNA (86 nucleotides) under Xenopus tropicalis (tropical clawed frog). Its description in RNAcentral is "Xenopus (Silurana) tropicalis (western clawed frog) tRNA". It matches the Rfam family "tRNA". From Rfam's summary of the family: Transfer RNA (tRNA) molecules are approximately 80 nucleotides in length. Lineage: Eukaryota; Metazoa; Chordata; Amphibia; Anura; Pipidae. The record is from Rfam by way of RNAcentral.